Molecule: microRNA precursor, 205 nt
Filed under: Oryza sativa Japonica Group (Japanese rice)
Lineage: Eukaryota; Viridiplantae; Streptophyta; Magnoliopsida; Poales; Poaceae
Description: MIR812 microRNA precursor family
Rfam family: MIR812 microRNA precursor family
Source: Rfam by way of RNAcentral
AAAAAGACAAACCCUGGUUUCCGUGUCCAAUGUUUGACCGUUCGUCUUAUUUGAAAAAAUUAUAAAAAAAAUUAAAAAGACAAGUCACGCAUAAAAUAUUAAUCAUAUUUUAUCAUCUAAUAACAAUGAAAAUACGAAUUAUAAAAAAAUUUCAUAUAAGACGGACAGUCAAAGUUGGACACGAAAACCUAGGGUUUGUCUUUUU